CUUCAAGGACUUCUCAUAUUGUUCCCUUCCUCCAAAGCCAGUCCAUCCCUGUUACAUGAGGAAAGAGCUUCAUGACUUAUAAAAUGAUAUGAAGGGAAAAAGAGAUGAAGUUUCUUGAUUUGGAGUAAAGUGACAAAGGACUGUUGAAAAAUCCCUUUGAUGUCCAAAUGGAACAUGGACUGGCGAGGGGAAAGACUCAAGCCAGGGAAGUCAUUUAGAGGAUUGGUCCAAGAAAGAUGUAAGGAGCUAUGGAGCAAUCAUGACACCUGUAUGAGUGGAGAAAAUGAAAGAAUAUGAAAGAUAUUAUAAAGGGGAGUAUAAACAUAAAUCCCCAUAAAGACUCUGAACCUGAAGGCAAAAAAAAGCAGAUUGAGCAGCCAAAGAAAAUUGAGAUGUCCACCCUGAUGAAUUGGGUCAGACUGAAGUCCUCUGAGCCAAAGAUGGCUAUCUUAUACCUGUUUAAUGAAGCGGAAUAG
Molecule: long non-coding RNA, 476 nt
Filed under: Monodelphis domestica (gray short-tailed opossum)
Lineage: Eukaryota; Metazoa; Chordata; Mammalia; Didelphimorphia; Didelphidae
Description: lncRNA (ENSMODG00000044514.1)
Source: RNAcentral